AUAGGCUACAAUACAAAAGAACAAGGUCUCAAAUUCUGAGAACUAAUGAGGAUGGAAAAGUCCAGAGUUCUUUUGAUUUCUGGAUAUGCCUUGGGGAAAAAUCCUGAUAUUUUACAACUUAUGCAUGACAUAUGAGUCAUAUUUUAUGUGGUUUCUUUUUGAUAUCUUCUUUGUUUAAUUAAAUUCUCUGUUUCAUGCUAAAGUCAAUCAACAAGAAAAU
RNAcentral lists this unclassified non-coding RNA (220 nucleotides) under Hevea brasiliensis (rubber tree). Lineage: Eukaryota; Viridiplantae; Streptophyta; Magnoliopsida; Malpighiales; Euphorbiaceae. The record is from RNAcentral.